RNAcentral lists this long non-coding RNA (1479 nucleotides) under Callithrix jacchus (white-tufted-ear marmoset). Its description in RNAcentral is "lncRNA (ENSCJAG00000081030.1)". The record is from RNAcentral. Lineage: Eukaryota; Metazoa; Chordata; Mammalia; Primates; Cebidae.
ACUGGAAUAUCAGAGGAGAAAACAGCCGCAUAAACCAACCGGAGGGUAACUGGGAAUGGAAAGUGUAUGAGACGGGAGAUUGGAAAGAGAAAAAACAUUCUUAUCAGAAAAGAUAAACAUCUUUUCUUCUGGUCAGAUAACAAACUGUAUUUUGAACCUUUCUAUGUUGCAGGCACUGUGCCAGGUGCCAGAUUUAUAACCACAAAAACAGAGAGGCAGAAUGUCUUCAUUUCCAGUGGACAAGACAGACGAUGUCUGUUGCAAUGAGACGCCCGCUCCUACUUCACCUUCUGCCAUGAGUAAAAGUUCCCUGAGGCCUCCCCAGAAGCCAAGCAGAUGCCAGCGCCAUGCUUCCUGUACAGCCUGCAGAACCGUGAGCCAAUAAACUUCUUUUCUUUAUAAAUUCCCCAGCUUCCAGUACUUCUUUAUAGCAAAAAACUACCUAACAAAACAUGUAUACUAUAAAAAGCAUAUUACUUGUGUAAUUUUUUAAAAAAUGAGUUAAGAAAAGAGGUGUCGACACUUCUAAAUUGUGUAACUAAUCAAAGGGAGCAGUAGAUGGAAAAGUAAGAUAUUUUAGUGAUGGCAAAGGGCCCUAUGGGAGUAGGAAUUCCAGUCUGAUAAUAUGAGAAAUAUUACAAACAUUACAUUUUGGCAUCGGGCUCCUCUCCUGGACUGAUGAGUUAGAGAUAGUUUGCGUUUAAUACAAAGGCAAAAGCAGAGAAACAAAUUCAUGCUUGCUCCAAAAAACAAAAUAAACCAAACUUGAAACCUUCCGAAAAGCAUAUGAUUUUUUUAUUUUAUUAAUUUUUAAAGAAUUUCAUAACAAGCCUUAAGAUAGAAGUAGCUUCAUAUGUGAAUGUCAGGUAUACAUUUUCCGAAUACCUCUCACUCUAUAAUAAGUUGGUAGCUAUUUAUUAAGCACCUAUUCCUAGCUUAGCAUUCUACUUGCUGCUAUGUGAUCAUUUCUAAGACAUUCGCACCAUGACUAUUUAACCCUAUGUGAGGGAGAAGCGUGCACUUGAUACUCAACUCUGUUAUCAACUAACACCACCACAUUUUAUUUUAUUUAUUUUUAUUUAUUUAUUUAUUCAUUUAUUUAUUUGAGAUGGAGUUUCUCUCUUGUUACUCAGGCUGGAGUGCAAUGGCGCGAUCUCGGCUCACCGCAAUCUCCGCCUCCUGGGUUCAGGCAAUUCUCCUGCCUCAGCCUCCUGAGUAGCUGGGAUUACAGGCAUGCACCACUGUGCCCAGCUAAUUUUUUUUUUUUUUUUUUUGUAUUUUUAGUAGACUGGGUUUCACCAUGUUGACCAGGAUGGUCUCGAUCUCUUGACCUCAUGAUCCACCCGCCUCAGCCUCCCAAAGUGUUGGGAUUACAUGCUUGAGCCACCGCGCCUGGCCCACCACAUUUUAUUUUAAAAACCCUGCAGUGACAUGGAAGACUUGGUGAUUUACUCCUUAAACCACUAAGAAAACAGCCAA